AGCCCAGAGAAUUCGCCAGCUCCUGGGUCAGCGCGCCCCAAAGCUAGGGGGCCCUCUCCAAUCCUCCCUCCCCAAAGUUACAAGAACUUUUUGCUGCGAAGUUGUUUAUGACCGAGCUUAAACUCUCCCCGAUCCCUUCUCGGGACACUGGGGUAUCGCAUUGGCCGUCGAGGGUCGUCCCCCCUUCCCCCCAACGAUUUAGGAGUAAUGAAACUCGGGGGCACAGCUCCAGCUCGCGUGUGCUGCUCUGUAGGUCUCCCCUGCUCUUCAAAAACACAGUACAUUCCUGGGGUUCGGGAAGGUCCACUCCCCAGCUAGCCUUUGGGAACGUCUAAUUCGCGGUGGUCUUGUGGUUAAAGGUUAGCCACUGGGGGUGUACUUGAAAAUACCUCCACGCCAGCGUGGUCGGGGCCCCUCUCCUUUGUGAAGCCCUAUGUGCUCUGAGAAAGAGCUUCAGGUAAUGUGAUGUCCCGUGUGCUCUGAGCUUUCCCAGGAGAAAGAACCUCAGGAUCCCGAGCGAGCAGAGUGACUGGAAAUGAACGUCGCGGGGUUAUCAGCGCCGAUCUGUCAGCAAGGACUCUCGCGGCCUCGGGCUCGUCUGCCGCGGCAGCCGUGAUGUAUGUCUCGCUCUUUUUCGUUCACAAAAAGGAUCUCUUCCGACAGACGAGUCCCCCAGAGGCUACCGAGAGAGAAUUUAAUUAGGACAAGAGUUGUUUUGUGCGAACGGAUUUCUACACUCCCACCCACCCCCAGUCAUUUUUAUGACAUUCCUCCUGGCCUCUCCCAAUCACGGCGGCAGCUCCCGGGUUCUGCGUGGCAGCAUUUGGGAAACGUUGAAGGCAGAAAACUCUGGAACGGACAUUGGCGGCUGAAGCUGGAUCCAGGAACUUUAAAUUUUAACCUCGGUCCGAUCGAUAGAACAUAUUCGGGCGCCUGCUGGCCACCCCACUCCUACCAGGGCUUCAAAAGGCUGCCUUCGGAGUUCGUUCGUGAGUUCUGAUCACAUUUCGAAGUGGGGUGGGUUUGCCAAAAGUUCGUUUGUAAGCCAUUUAAAAAAAGAGUGUGGACGUUUGAUUUCUUUUGAGUACAAAUGUUUGGAAAUCAUGCGCCUUGGUUUUGAUAUUAAAAGCAAUUUUAAAAAGAA
Echinops telfairi (small Madagascar hedgehog) is the source of this 1144-nucleotide long non-coding RNA. RefSeq lists it as uncharacterized. The record is from RefSeq and is a predicted model, not a curated record. The transcript is spliced from 3 exons. Lineage: Eukaryota; Metazoa; Chordata; Mammalia; Afrosoricida; Tenrecidae.